RNAcentral lists this ribosomal RNA (468 nucleotides) under uncultured bacterium. Its description in RNAcentral is "partial 16S ribosomal RNA". It matches the Rfam family "Bacterial small subunit ribosomal RNA", at positions 28 to 507 of the family's 1533-position model. The record is from RNAcentral.
GACGCACGCUGGCGGCGUGCUUAACACAUGCAAGUCGAACGGAAAGGCCCUGCUUUUGUGGUGUGCUCGAGUGGCGAACGGGUGAGUAACACGUGAGUAACCUGCCCUUGACUUUGGGAUCACUUCAGGAACCUGGGGCUAAUACCGGAUAGGAGCUCCUGCUGCAUGGUGGGGGUUGGAAAGUUUCGGCGAUUGGGGAUGGACUCGGGGCUUAUCAGCUUGUUGGUGGGGUAGUGGCAUACCAAGGCUUUGACGGGUAGCCGGCCUGAGGGGGUGACCGGCCACAUUGGGACGGAGAUACGGCCGAGACUCCUACGGGAGGCAGCAGUGGGGAAUAGUGCACAAUGGGCGGAAGCCUGAUGCAGCAACGCCGCGUGCGGGAUGACGGCCUUCGGGUUGUAAACCGCUUUCGCCUGGGACGAAGCGUGAGUGACGGUAAUGGGUAAAGAAGCACCGGCUAACUACGUG